UACGUAGGGUGCAAGCGUUGUCCGGAAUUAUUGGGCGUAAAGAGCUCGUAGGCGGUCUGUCACGUCGGCUGUGAAAACCCGGGGCUCAACCCCGAGUCAGCCAGGGAUACUGGAGGGCUGGAGACAGGUAGAGGCAAGCGGAAUUCCGGGUGUAGCGGUGGAAUGCGUAGAUAUCAGGAGGAACACCGGUGGCGAAGGCGGGUCUCUGGGCCGAUACUGACGCUGAGGAGCGAAAGCAUGGGUAGCGAACAGG
RNAcentral lists this ribosomal RNA (253 nucleotides) under uncultured bacterium. RNAcentral describes it as "partial 16S ribosomal RNA". It matches the Rfam family "Bacterial small subunit ribosomal RNA", at positions 524 to 776 of the family's 1533-position model. The record is from RNAcentral.